This 253-nucleotide ribosomal RNA is filed under the name uncultured bacterium. RNAcentral describes it as "partial 16S ribosomal RNA". It matches the Rfam family "Bacterial small subunit ribosomal RNA", at positions 524 to 776 of the family's 1533-position model. The record is from RNAcentral.
UACGGAGGGUGCGAGCGUUGUCCGGAAUCACUGGGCUUAAAGCGUGUGUAGGCGGGCCCGUAAGUGGCUUGUGAAAUCCCACGGCUCAACCGUGGAACUGCUGGGCAUACUGCGGGUCUUGGGCCAACUAGGGGCAGCCGGAACAAGCGGUGGAGCGGUGAAAUGCGUAGAUAUCGCUUGGAACGCCGAAGGUGAAAACAGGCUGCUGGGGUUGCGCCGACGCUGAGACACGAAAGCCAGGGGAGCAAACGGG